This 799-nucleotide ribosomal RNA is filed under the name Flavobacterium sp. Its description in RNAcentral is "bacterial SSU rRNA". It matches the Rfam family "Bacterial small subunit ribosomal RNA", at positions 67 to 874 of the family's 1533-position model. The record is from RNAcentral. Lineage: Bacteria; Pseudomonadati; Bacteroidota; Flavobacteriia; Flavobacteriales; Flavobacteriaceae.
GUAUAGUUCUUCGGAAUUAGAGACCGGCGCACGGGUGCGUAACGCGUAUGCAAUCUACCUUUCACAGAGGGAUAGCCCAGAGAAAUUUGGAUUAAUACCUCAUAGUAUAUAGAGAUGGCAUGAACAUAAUAUUAAAGUCACAACGGUGAAAGAUGAGCAUGCGUCCCAUUAGCUAGUUGGUAAGGUAACGGCUUACCAAGGCGACGAUGGGUAGGGGUCCUGAGAGGGAGAUCCCCCACACUGGUACUGAGACACGGACCAGACUCCUACGGGAGGCAGCAGUGAGGAAUAUUGGACAAUGGGCGCAAGCCUGAUCCAGCCAUGCCGCGUGCAGGAUGACGGUCCUAUGGAUUGUAAACUGCUUUUAUACGAGAAGAAACAACUCUACGUGUAGAGUCUUGACGGUAUCGUAAGAAUAAGGAUCGGCUAACUCCGUGCCAGCAGCCGCGGUAAUACGGAGGAUCCAAGCGUUAUCCGGAAUCAUUGGGUUUAAAGGGUCCGUAGGCGGUCAGAUAAGUCAGUGGUGAAAGCCCAUCGCUCAACGGUGGAACGGCCAUUGAUACUGUCUGACUUGAAUUAUUAGGAAGUAACUAGAAUAUGUAGUGUAGCGGUGAAAUGCUUAGAGAUUACAUGGAAUACCAAUUGCGAAGGCAGGUUACUACUAAUUGAUUGACGCUGAUGGACGAAAGCGUGGGUAGCGAACAGGAUUAGAUACCCUGGUAGUCCACGCCGUAAACGAUGGAUACUAGCUGUUGGGAGCAAUCUCAGUGGCUAAGCGAAAGUGAUAAGUAUCCCACCU